CACGUAGGCGGCUCGCUAAGUCGGAUGUGAAAGCCCCCGGCCCAACCGGGGAACUGCAUUCGAUACUGGCGGGCUCGAGGACGGUAGGGGUAAGUGGAACUCCAGGUGGAACGGUGAAAUGUGUAGAUAUCUGGAGGAACACCGGUGGCGAAAGCGGCUUACUGGACCGUAUCUGACGCUGAGGUGCGAAAGCUAGGGUAGCGAACG
RNAcentral lists this ribosomal RNA (207 nucleotides) under uncultured bacterium. RNAcentral's name for it is "partial 16S ribosomal RNA". It matches the Rfam family "Bacterial small subunit ribosomal RNA", at positions 568 to 774 of the family's 1533-position model. The record is from RNAcentral.